RNAcentral lists this ribosomal RNA (593 nucleotides) under Escherichia coli. RNAcentral describes it as "partial 23S ribosomal RNA". It matches the Rfam family "Bacterial large subunit ribosomal RNA", at positions 1291 to 1869 of the family's 2925-position model. Lineage: Bacteria; Pseudomonadati; Pseudomonadota; Gammaproteobacteria; Enterobacterales; Enterobacteriaceae. The record is from RNAcentral.
CGAAUGCUGACAUAAGUAACGAUAAAGCGGGUGAAAAGCCCGCUCGCCGGAAGACCAAGGGUUCCUGUCCAACGUUAAUCGGGGCAGGGUGAGUCGACCCCUAAGGCGAGGCCGAAAGGCGUAGUCGAUGGGAAACAGGUUAAUAUUCCUGUACUUGGUGUUACUGCGAAGGGGGGACGGAGAAGGCUAUGUUGGCCGGGCGACGGUUGUCCCGGUUUAAGCGUGUAGGCUGGUUUUCCAGGCAAAUCCGGAAAAUCAAGGCUGAGGCGUGAUGACGAGGCACUACGGUGCUGAAGCAACAAAUGCCCUGCUUCCAGGAAAAGCCUCUAAGCAUCAGGUAACAUCAAAUCGUACCCCAAACCGACACAGGUGGUCAGGUAGAGAAUACCAAGGCGCUUGAGAGAACUCGGGUGAAGGAACUAGGCAAAAUGGUGCCGUAACUUCGGGAGAAGGCACGCUGAUAUGUAGGUGAAGUGAUUUACUCAUGGAGCUGAAAUCAGUCGAAGAUACCAGCUGGCUGCAACUGUUUAUUAAAAACACAGCACUGUGCAAACACGAAAGUGGACGUAUACGGUGUGACGCCUGCCCGGUGC